GCUAUACAUGCAGUCGAACGCUUCUUUCCUCCCGAGUGCUUGCACUCAAUUGGAAAGAGGAGUGGCGGACGGGUGAGUAACACGUGGGUAACCUACCCAUCAGAGGGGGAUAACACUUGGAAACAGGUGCUAAUACCGCAUAACAGUUUAUGCCGCAUGGCAUAAGAGUGAAAGGCGCUUUCGGGUGUCGCUGAUGGAUGGACCCGCGGUGCAUUAGCUAGUUGGUGAGGUAACGGCUCACCAAGGCCACGAUGCAUAGCCGACCUGAGAGGGUGAUCGGCCACACUGGGACUGAGACACGGCCCAGACUCCUACGGGAGGCAGCAGUAGGGAAUCUUCGGCAAUGGACGAAAGUCUGACCGAGCAACGCCGCGUGAGUGAAGAAGGUUUUCGGAUCGUAAAACUCUGUUGUUAGAGAAGAACAAGGACGUUAGUAACUGAACGUCCCCUGACGGUAUCUAACCAGAAAGCCACGGCUAACUACGUGCCAGCAGCCGCGGUAAUACGUAGGUGGCAAGCGUUGUCCGGAUUUAUUGGGCGUAAAGCGAGCGCAGGCGGUUUCUUAAGUCUGAUGUGAAAGCCCCCGGCUCAACCGGGGAGGGUCAUUGGAAACUGGGAGACUUGAGUGCAGAAGAGGAGAGUGGAAUUCCAUGUGUAGCGGUGAAAUGCGUAGAUAUAUGGAGGAACACCAGUGGCGAAAGCGGCUCUCUGGUCUGUAACUGACGCUGAGGCUCGAAAGCGUGGGGAGCAAACAGAUUAGAUACCCUGGUAGUCCACGCCGUAACGAUGAGUGCUAGUGUUGGAGGGU
RNAcentral lists this ribosomal RNA (808 nucleotides) under Enterococcus faecalis. RNAcentral's name for it is "bacterial SSU rRNA". It matches the Rfam family "Bacterial small subunit ribosomal RNA", at positions 48 to 830 of the family's 1533-position model. The record is from RNAcentral. Lineage: Bacteria; Bacillati; Bacillota; Bacilli; Lactobacillales; Enterococcaceae.